GCAGCCGCGGUAAUUCGGAGGGUGCGAGCGUUAAUCGGAAUUACUAGGGCGUAAAGCGUGCGUAGGCGGUUUGUUAAGCAAGAUGUGAAAGCCCAGGGCUCAACCUUGGAACUGCAUUUUGAACUGGCAAACUAGAGUACUGUAGAGGGUGGUGGAAUAUCCAGUGUAGCGGUGAAAUGCGUAGAGAUUGGAAGGAACAUCAGUGGCGGAGGCGGCCACCUGGACAGAUACUGACGCUGAGGCACGAAAGCGUGGGGAGCAAACAGGAUUAGAUACCCUGGUAGUCCACGCCGUAAACGAUGUCAACUAGCUGUCUGUGGACUUGAUCCGUGGGUAGCGGAGCUAACGCAUUAAGUUGACCGCCUGGGGAGUACGGCCGCAAGGUUAAAACUCAAAUGAAUUGACGGGGGCCCGCACAAGCGGUGGAGCAUGUGGUUUAAUUCGAUGCAACGCGAAGAACCUUACCAUCCCUUGACAUCCACAGAAGAGACUAGAGAUAGACUUGUGCCUUCGGGAACUGUGAGACAGGUGCUGCAUGGCUGUCGUCAGCUCGUGUUGUGAAAUGUUGGGUUAAGUCCCGCAACGAGUGCAACCCCUAUCCUUAUUUGCCAGCGCGUUAUGGCGGGAACUCUAAGGAGACUGCCGGUGAUAAACCGGAGGAAGGUGGGGACGACGUCAAGUCAUCAUGGCCCUUACGGGAUGGGCUACACACGUGCUACAAUGGCAAGUACAGAGGGCAGCAAUACCGCGAGGUGGAGCGAAUCCCACAAAGCUUGUCGUAGUCCGGAUUGGAGUCUGCAACUCGACUCCAUGAAGUCGGAAUCGCUAGUAAUCGUAGAUCAGAAUGCUACGGUGAAUACGUUCCCGGGCCUUGUACACACCGCCCGU
Molecule: ribosomal RNA, 888 nt
Filed under: uncultured bacterium
Lineage: Bacteria
Description: bacterial SSU rRNA
Rfam family: Bacterial small subunit ribosomal RNA
Source: RNAcentral